RNAcentral lists this ribosomal RNA (254 nucleotides) under uncultured bacterium. RNAcentral's name for it is "partial 16S ribosomal RNA". It matches the Rfam family "Bacterial small subunit ribosomal RNA", at positions 524 to 777 of the family's 1533-position model. The record is from RNAcentral.
UACAGAGGGGGCAAGCGUUAUUCGGAAUUAUUGGGCGUAAAGGGCGCGUAGGCGGCUUGGCAAGUGGAUGGUGAAAUCCCUCGGCUUAACCGAGGAACUGCCGUCCAAACUGCUUAGCUUGAGACCGGGAGAGGUGAGUGGAAUUCCCAGUGUAGCGGUGAAAUGCGUAGAUAUUGGGAGGAACACCAGUGGCGAAGGCGGCUCACUGGACCGGAACUGACGCUGAUGCGCGAAAGCGUGGGGAGCAAACGGGG